Molecule: ribosomal RNA, 332 nt
Filed under: uncultured Lysobacter sp.
Lineage: Bacteria; Pseudomonadati; Pseudomonadota; Gammaproteobacteria; Lysobacterales; Lysobacteraceae
Description: bacterial SSU rRNA
Rfam family: Bacterial small subunit ribosomal RNA
Source: RNAcentral
UGCGUAGGUGGUGAGUUAAGUCUGAUGUGAAAUCCCCGGGCUCAACCUGGGAAUGGCAUUGGAUACUGGCUCGCUCGAGUGCGGUAGAGGGUGGUGGAAUUCCCGGUGUAGCAGUGAAAUGCGUAGAGAUCGGGAGGAACAUCUGUGGCGAAGGCGGCCACCUGGACCAGCACUGACACUGAGGCACGAAAGCGUGGGGAGCAAACAGGAUUAGAUACCCUGGUAGUCCACGCCCUAAACGAUGCGAACUGGAUGUUGGGGGGAACUUGCCCUUCAGUAUCGAAGCUAACGCGUUAAGUUCGCCGCCUGGGGAGUACGGUCGCAAGACUGAA